GCUGGAGUAGCUCAGUUGGUAGAGCAACUGAUUCGUAAUCAGUAGGUCGGGGGUUCAAGUCCUCUUUCCAGCGCCA
RNAcentral lists this transfer RNA (76 nucleotides) under Holosporales bacterium. RNAcentral describes it as "tRNA-Thr". It matches the Rfam family "tRNA". From Rfam's summary of the family: Transfer RNA (tRNA) molecules are approximately 80 nucleotides in length. Their secondary structure includes four short double-helical elements and three loops (D, anti-codon, and T loops). Lineage: Bacteria; Pseudomonadati; Pseudomonadota; Alphaproteobacteria; Holosporales. The record is from RNAcentral.